This is a non-coding RNA of Paramuricea clavata, 687 nucleotides long. NCBI's taxonomy places the organism in Eukaryota, Metazoa, Cnidaria, Anthozoa, Malacalcyonacea, Plexauridae. The record is from the annotation of a GenBank genome assembly.
UGGUUUUGAGCUCCUCGAUUUCUCUUUAGAAUCGCUCUGAAGUUAAUAAAUUUUCUCAUAAAUAUGAGCACGACAACUAAACUGUUUGUUGAUGGUGGAAUAUAUCGGUUUAAUGGUUUAUUAUCCGACUUAAAGCACUUUGUCGAUGAAACUUUGGGACUUAAAGGGAAUUGGAGUUCCCCUGGCGGUGAUGUCAAGCUCUUUAAUGCCGCAUGCAGAUUCUGGAUAUGCUAUCAAAUGGUACGGUCACUCUAAAAAGCUUGUGAUUCAAACUGAUAAUGAACUAGUACUUGAAGCGGAAAUUUGCGAGUUUGGCGAAUCCAGUUGGGAGCGACGUGGUGGCUGGCGCAAGCAACGGUGUUUCGGUAUCUAAGGUAUACACAUGUCCUUAUACUUGUGUUAACAGAAAUAUAGUCGCUGAACUCGAGGGUGUAAAACUCGAUAUGACGAUUUUAGAGUCCCGUUUAUUUACUUCAAUUUCCCAACAAGAGUCUAAAUCUGACGAUAUUAACUCACUUCGCGCUAAACAGAAGGACAUGGAGGCCAUUAUAAAUAAAAAAGACGAAGUAAUCUGCAAACUCAAUGAGGAAAUUCAAUACAGGGUGUAUCAAAAAAGCGCAACCUCGGAAUUUCCCAAGACAUCGACAUUGUUUUAAAGACAAAAGAUUUUAGGCGCCUGGGAAUUUA